This 512-nucleotide ribosomal RNA is filed under the name uncultured bacterium. RNAcentral describes it as "bacterial SSU rRNA". It matches the Rfam family "Bacterial small subunit ribosomal RNA", at positions 1007 to 1518 of the family's 1533-position model. The record is from RNAcentral.
AUAUAUGUUUUCUUCGGAACACUGGAGACAGGUGGUGCAUGGUUGUCGUCAGCUCGUGUCGUGAGAUGUUGGGUUAAGUCCCGCAACGAGCGCAACCCUUAUUCUUAGUAGCCAGCAGGUAAAGCUGGGCACUCUAGGGAGACUGCCAGGGAUAACCUGGAGGAAGGUGGGGAUGACGUCAAAUCAUCAUGCCCCUUAUGAUUUGGGCUACACACGUGCUACAAUGGCGUAAACAAAGGGAGGCGAAGGAGCGAUCUGGAGCGAACCCCAAAAAUAACGUCUCAGUUCGGAUUGCAGGCUGCAACCCGCCUGCAUGAAGCCGGAAUCGCUAGUAAUCGCAGAUCAGAAUGCUGCGGUGAAUACGUUCCCGGGUCUUGUACACACCGCCCGUCACACCAUGGGAGUCGAUAACGCCCGAAGUCAGUGACCCAACCGAAAGGAGGGAGCUGCCGAAGGCGGGAUUGAUAACUGGGGUGAAGUCGUAACAAGGUAGCCGUAUCGGAAGGUGCGGC